CAACGGUAGGUCAGUAUGCCCCCGAAUCUCCCGGGCUACACGCGCGCUACAAAGGACAGGACAAUGGGAUGCAAUACCGAGAGGUAACGCCAACCCGAAACCUGUUCGUAGUUCGGACUGAGGGCUGUAACUCGCCCUCACGAAGCUGGAUUCCGUAGUAAUCGCGGGUCAACAUCCCGCGGUGAAUAUGCCCCUGCUCUUU
This 202-nucleotide ribosomal RNA is filed under the name uncultured Thermoplasmatales archaeon. Its description in RNAcentral is "partial 16S ribosomal RNA". It matches the Rfam family "Archaeal small subunit ribosomal RNA", at positions 1136 to 1338 of the family's 1478-position model. The record is from RNAcentral. Lineage: Archaea; Methanobacteriati; Thermoplasmatota; Thermoplasmata; Thermoplasmatales.